AAAAACAUGUCCUAUAGUUAUUUAUGUUAGGUCUGACCUGCCCGAUGAUUAAUUAUUUAAUUGAAUGGCCGCGGUAUUUUGACUGCGCGAAGGUAGCGUAAUUAUUUGUCUUUUAAUUGAAGUCCAGUAUGAACGGUCGGACGAGGCAUAAGCUUUCUUUAACUUUUUUUUUGAAUUUAAUUUUUUAGUUAAAAAGCUAAAAUUUUUUUAGGGGACGAGAAGACCCUGUAGAUCUUUAUAAUAAGGCCAAUAUCAUCAAUUUGGUUUUGAUAAUGGAACUGUUUGUUAGUUUUAUUAUUUGACUGGGGCGAUUUUGGAAUUUAAGGAACUUUCAAUUUUAAAUACACUAAUAAGUGUGUAUUUUGAUCCAUUAUUAAUGAUUAAAAGAUUAAGUUACCUCAGGGAUAACAGCGUAAUCUUUUUUAAGAGAUCUUAUCGAAGAAAAGGAUUGCGACCUCGAUGUUGGAUUAAAAUAAGUGUUAGGCGUAGCCGUUUAAUAACUAGGUCUGUUCGACCUUUAAUUUUUUACAUGAUCU
Molecule: ribosomal RNA, 536 nt
Filed under: Bactrodes femoratus
Lineage: Eukaryota; Metazoa; Arthropoda; Insecta; Hemiptera; Reduviidae
Description: partial 16S ribosomal RNA
Rfam family: Bacterial large subunit ribosomal RNA
Source: RNAcentral